CGCGUAGGCGGUAAUGUAAGUCAGACGUGAAAUCCUUCGGCUUAACUGAAGAACUGCGUCUGAAACUGCAUGACUAGAGUGCAGAAGAGGGAAACGGAAUUCCUGGUGUAGAGGUGAAAUUCGUAGAUAUCAGGAGGAACACCGGUGGCGAAGGCGGUUUCCUGGUCUGACACUGACGCUGAGGCGCGAAAGCGCGGGGAGCAAACAGGAUUAGAUACCCUGGUAGUCCACGCCGUAAACGGUGGGUACUGGGUGUGGGAGGUGUAAUGCCUUCUGUGCCGAAGCUAACGCGUUAAGUACCCCGCUGGGGAGUACGGCCGCAAGGUUGAA
Molecule: ribosomal RNA, 330 nt
Filed under: uncultured bacterium
Lineage: Bacteria
Description: bacterial SSU rRNA
Rfam family: Bacterial small subunit ribosomal RNA
Source: RNAcentral